This 643-nucleotide ribosomal RNA is filed under the name uncultured bacterium. RNAcentral's name for it is "bacterial SSU rRNA". It matches the Rfam family "Bacterial small subunit ribosomal RNA", at positions 232 to 885 of the family's 1533-position model. The record is from RNAcentral.
CGCGGCCUAUCAGCUUGUUGGUGAGGUAAUGGCUCACCAAGGCUUCGACGGGUAGCCGGCCUGAGAGGGCGACCGGCCACACUGGGACUGAGAUACGGCCCAGACUCCUACGGGAGGCAGCAGUGGGGAAUAUUGCACAAUGGGCGCAAGCCUGAUGCAGCAACGCCGCGUGCGGGAUGACGGCCUUCGGGUUGUAAACCGCUUUCAGUAGGGACGAAGCUAACGUGACGGUACCUACAGAAGAAGGACCGGCUAACUACGUGCCAGCAGCCGCGGUGAUACGUAGGGUCCGAGCGUUGUCCGGAAUUAUUGGGCGUAAAGGGCUUGUAGGCGGUCCGUCGCGUCAGGAGUGAAAACUCGGGGCUUAACCCCGAGCCUGCUUUUGAUACGGGCGGACUAGAGGGAUGCAGGGGAGAACGGAAUUCCUGGUGGAGCGGUGGGAUGCGCAGAUAUCAGGAGGAACACCGGUGGCGAAGGCGGUUCUCUGGGCAUCACCUGACGCUGAGAAGCGAAAGCGUGGGGAGCAAACAGGCUUAGAUACCCUGGUAGUCCACGCCGUAAACGGUGGGCACUAGGUGUGGGGGACAUUCCACGUUCUCCGUGCCGAAGCUAACGCAUUAAGUGCCCCGCCUGGGGAGUACGG